This 3360-nucleotide long non-coding RNA is filed under the name Solanum tuberosum (potato). Its description in RNAcentral is "long non-coding RNA (STUB_LNC011325)". The record is from RNAcentral. Lineage: Eukaryota; Viridiplantae; Streptophyta; Magnoliopsida; Solanales; Solanaceae.
CUGGGCAUAAAUUUAAAGUUUCAAUGUUCAUCAAGUGUUAUUAGAAACAUCAACAAAAGCUGCAAGAAAUUAGAAAGAUUCCAUUAGAAAUGAAUUGAAAAGAAAUUAGGAAAAGCUGUAAGAAGAUCUGGAAUAAACAAAAACAGGGUAAACAUAAAUGGAAUGAAUUAAAACUGGCUAAAAAUCUAUUGUGUGUGAAAACCUCUUCUAGAACUAAUUGCCGAAGCAUUCACAAUGAUUCAAAUGAUAACAUAUUAUGCUUUUAUACAUUCCACAACUUCAUUUAGCAAUAGAAGUUAAGGUUUCAUUAAUUACAGUAGAAGAAAAAACCAUUUAUGAUGUUUGACAUUUCAUUUUUCCCUUGUAAAAGAGCAAGAACUACAAAAUUGAACUUUAUGGUAAUACAACUUGACAUUCUAAAGCAUCUAAUCUUCUAUAGCUCUGUUCCUAAAUCUAUCUUUGUCUGCUUCAUUACUAGAUUACUUAGCAAACCAUAAGCAGUAAAGCCACUCUUUGUGCAGAAAAUAAACAAUCGAGGAAAAGUUGUGUCGUUAAUGUUGAAAAACUGUUAAAAUGGAGUGAUGCAACUAUCGUUAGUUAAAAAAUUAAUGUAUUAUGUUCCAAAUGUGCAUUUUUAGUUUUUUUCAAAGGUGAUGCAUCAGUCUCUCCCCUCAUUUCUAUAUGUCGCCUCACCUCGUCUCGUUGCCUCACCUCAUAAGAAAUUACAGUAGUAAGUAAUGGAGCUACUAGUUGAGAAUCUAGUGUUCUUUGAUGGAAACAAUGCAACAAUAGAAACUAUUGACUACACCCAAAACUUGUACUACAUGGACAUUAGAAACAAUUGACUUUUUGAAGGCGACGAGAAUCUUGUAAUAAUUGUUUACACAAAGUAAACUCUACGUAUGCGCUUAAAGUUAAUAACUUCAAACCAAAAGUUUGUCCAGAUAUUUCAUCAACCAGCUCAGUGAAGUCUUGUCCGAAUAAUGGAGUAACACUCACCAUAGAUUAGAAGAGACCAUAAAGAAUGAAGUUGAACAAAGAAGUGAAGAAAUCAUGACCAAAAAAAAGUAACAUUUUCACUUUCAACACCAACAUAAAAUGACAAACAGGGCUCCUUAGUACUAACUGUGAUGAGAACAUAUUUAGUACUAACCAUGAUGGGAACUAGUUUCAUGUCAGAUAUUCCAUCUUAUUGUGCUACAAAAACUCAUCAGGGAUCCUUAUUUGACAUCAGAUGAAUUCACUUUAUAAAAUUGUGAUUGGAGGCUAAAAGUUCUGGCAGAUUGAGUACUGAUGCAUUUUAUAAAAGUAUUGUGCCUAAUUGUUCCUAGUGAUGCAUCUGCAAAUAAUCUCUUCUAAAAUUUUGUAAAACUUAACUCAUGUUGUUAUAGUAUUUGUUGGAUUUGACAAGUUGUUUGGCCUUGAAGGUCAUUGUCUUAACGAGCCGCAACUCUGAAAAAACACUAGUCUGAUAGUUUUUUUGGAUUGGUCAACUUCAAUUCAUCUAUUACCCACAAUCCGAAGCUUAUUUGGGUUAGACUAUAUGAAUCUUCACUAAUCAUGUUACCAAUACUUUAGUCUUUAGCACAGUGUUUUGGUGAGUGAGAAGCUGAAGCCGGGAAAGAAAUACAAAGCAAAGAAAAAAAUGGUUUCAGUCAUGUAACGGAAAAAACUUGUGAGGUCUGCAAGGUUAGUUGGAUACUGUUACUACUACUUCACGUCUUUUAUUUUCCUUUUUAUUUUUGAAAACUAUGAAAAAAGAUAAACAGAGGGCUGCAAUUUUAGUUGGACUAAAAGAUAACUAAUUUGUUUGUCUAAUUGAGUCCUUUAUUUCUACCAACUAAUUGUACAUUAGUUGGAAUGUUUACUGUACCUUAGCUGGAAAUUUUAAGUAGAAAAUGACUAUAUGCAAAUCAACAAAAUAAAUUAAAAGGUCGGGUAUAUUGUUACUUACUUGAUCAGCAGAAAAAGCAGUCGUCAUGCAGUAGAAACGGGUGAUGUCGUACAUGUGAUUGAUCCAAAUAACCAAAUGAGUCAUCUAAGAGGUACCCACCAAAUUUAAACCUGAAAACAGAUCCAGUGCAUUGUAGACAUUUCCAUGGAUAAGAGCACUGCAAGUAGAUAAGCCCUGAUGCAUGUUAUUUGAAAUGAGAAAAUAUGUAUCAUAUGUUCUUGCUAUAUCAUAAGAGGUGUCAACUUGUUGCCUGAUAAGCCCUGAUGCAUGUUGUUUUGCAAUGAGAAAAUAUGUAUCAUAUUUACUUGGUAUAUCAUAAGAGGUGUCAACUUGUCGCCUGAUAGUACUGAACUGAACAUGAUCAAUUCACCGGAGAAAGUCGAGGUACAUUCCCUUAUAUGCAUUGUAAUUCAAGUGAAAACAUAAAAUAUUCUUCAAUGUUUUCGUUCAUCAAGAAGACUAGGACACUGCGUAGCAAGUCCUAGUCGUUAGGAACUCUAAUUUAUGGAUCAUUUUGAGUUAUGUCAUGGUGUAUUACCAUUUUCUUUUCAAUCACAUGAAUAGAUCUUUAGAUAUGAUAAAGAUUUAUGUUAUAGAUUACUAGUUACGACCUUUCUCUUCUUAUUCAUGGAAAAAUCAUAACCCUACAUCAAACUAUGAUUUUCACAGCUAUAUGAUUCACUCGAUGGAAGAAGAAUUCCAAAGAAUAGUUUGUAUAAGAUAAGAAUAAAUGUAGUCCUUUGCUCAUUUUUCUUCCUCUUCUCUAACUAGGCAGAGAUUUAACAGAUGCUUAAAGAGACAUUAGCCUGAAGCGCUCGCUUUUCAUUAUCGACUCUUCCUUGACUAGGUAGAGAGUUAAAAAUUACAGUGUACAAACAUGUGUUUGCUCAUCUCCAUUACUGAUGAGAGAAGUAAACACUUGUUUGUAGACUGUUAUUAUGCUGAAAUGUUUAGAGCUGAAUUUUUAUACAAUGGUUCAACAUCUCACAGCCUACAAGAGAACUUAAGACUACAGUCAAGAUGAUUAGAAGGAAAAACUAAAAGUAGUUGAAGAAAGAAGUGGUGGCUUCUCUAUGGGGAGUUAUGGUGUAGUAUAUUUCGAAAGCAAGAAAGUGGAAAUAGUUCAAAGGUUCUACGUAGAAACUUAAUUUUUUUUGUAAACACAAUGGAUUUGCAUACACAACAGAUUUCUAAAAAAAAGAGUUCUUCAAAAGAAUUGAAAACAUAAUAGAUUUGCAAAGAAAAAAAAGCAUAUUUGAUAAAAUCUGACUUGUUUCAACUUAUUAGGUGUAUUGCUUAACUUGAUUAGUAGAUGCAAGAGCUGAAGUGUUAAUCCACAUGUUCUCUUUCUCAAGAUCCAUCGAGUUCCUUUGUGUUAUUCUCAUCCCUUGACUAGAAGACAAAGC